Molecule: transfer RNA, 69 nt
Filed under: Marmota monax (woodchuck)
Lineage: Eukaryota; Metazoa; Chordata; Mammalia; Rodentia; Sciuridae
Description: tRNA.Ala
Source: RNAcentral
GGGUUGUGGCUCAGUGGUAGAGCGCUUGCCUAGCACGUGUGAGGCACUGGGUUGGAUCCUUAGCACCCA